CAAACAAACCUUGUGUGCACCAGAAGCCAGAGACCCCACAGAGACUGAGACAGAACUGUGUUUGAGUGUCUCCUGCAGAGGGCUUUCUCC
This 90-nucleotide long non-coding RNA is filed under the name Bos grunniens (domestic yak). Its description in RNAcentral is "lncRNA (ENSBGRG00000022763.1)". Lineage: Eukaryota; Metazoa; Chordata; Mammalia; Artiodactyla; Bovidae. The record is from RNAcentral.